UUCCGUUUUGCAACACUUCUGUGUUUCCAGCUGGUUUCCCUGGAUUCUCAUCUGAGCCCUGUAGAGAGAGGUUGUUUGCAGAGGCCGAGGGGACUGUUGUCAUGUGGGGCUCCGUGAAGCACAAGGGUUCAAGCAGCGCUGCCCGUUACCCACACAGCAAGAACCGUGUUAUUCUUCCUGCUGCAUUUCCACCAGCCAUUUCCUCCUGCAACCUGAAAAUCAUCCUGGCAUAGGAAGACAAGCUAAAGCUCCACAUCACUGAAGGAUUUGUGAUGAUGAAAAAGAAAAUGAAUUAAUAGAGUACAUUUUAUAUUAGUAACACCAAAUCUACCUGAGGGUACCAAUUCAUCCAUGCCUCAGAUAUUAGCAAAAAUAUGUUUUAAUUGAAAACAUAUUUGCCUUUCUUUCAGA
Molecule: long non-coding RNA, 411 nt
Organism: Fukomys damarensis (Damara mole-rat)
Lineage: Eukaryota; Metazoa; Chordata; Mammalia; Rodentia; Bathyergidae
Exons: 4
Source: RefSeq, a predicted model, not a curated record